GGAGUGGUGCGAGAGCGGCCGAAUCGGGCUCCCUGCUAAGGAGUUGUACCCUUACGGGUACCGGGGGUUCGAAUCCCCCCUACUCCG
Transfer RNA from Treponema denticola ATCC 35405, 87 nucleotides. It matches the Rfam family "tRNA". From Rfam's summary of the family: Transfer RNA (tRNA) molecules are approximately 80 nucleotides in length. Their secondary structure includes four short double-helical elements and three loops (D, anti-codon, and T loops). Lineage: Bacteria; Pseudomonadati; Spirochaetota; Spirochaetia; Treponematales; Treponemataceae. The record is from Rfam.